This 390-nucleotide ribosomal RNA is filed under the name Triticum aestivum (bread wheat). Its description in RNAcentral is "partial small subunit ribosomal RNA". Lineage: Eukaryota; Viridiplantae; Streptophyta; Magnoliopsida; Poales; Poaceae. The record is from RNAcentral.
AUGCCAUGGCGCACGAAGCUGCACAUGGAGGAACCCCUCCCCGCCGGCGAGGGGUCCAGCCGGCAGCAGCGCGGCCGUGACGUCGUCGACCACGUCCAGGCUCCGGUGCAGGUGUCACCUACGCCGGAGCAGGUAGCUCCAUUUAUGUGGGCCCCGGUAGCUGCUCUGGCUCCUCAGACGGAGCAGGUGUCUCCUCUGCCGCGGGUGACGCCUCCGGUGCCCGAGCCUGUGGUCACCGGCGACGUCAACAAAGACGAUGUAGCUCCUCUGGCUUCUCUGCCGGAGCAGGUGGUGGCUCCUCAGCCUCAGCCGGGUGUUCGUCUGCCGCGGUUGUUGCCUCCCCUGCCCCCACCUGUGGUCGUCGCCGACGAGAACGAAGAAGAGUCCUAA